GGUUAAGUUAGAAAGGGCGCACGGUGGAUGCCUUGGCACUAGGAGCCGAUGAAGGACGGGACGAACACCGAUAUGCUUCGGGGAGCUGUAAGCAAGCUUUGAUCCGGAGAUUUCCGAAUGGGGAAACCCACUGCUCGUAAUGGAGCAGUAUCCAUAUCUGAAUUCAUAGGAUAUGAGAAGGCAGACCCGGGGAACUGAAACAUCUAAGUACCCGGAGGAAGAGAAAGCAAAUGCGAUUCCCUGAGUAGCGGCGAGCGAAACGGGAACAGCCCAAACCAAGAGGCUUGCCUCUUGGGGUUGUAGGACACUCUGUACGGAGUUACAAAAGAACGAGGUAGAUGAAGAGGCCUGGAAAGGCCCGCCAUAGGAGGUAACAGCCCUGUAGUCAAAACUUCGUUCUCUCCUGAGUGGAUCCUGAGUACGGC
RNAcentral lists this ribosomal RNA (425 nucleotides) under Bacillus paralicheniformis. RNAcentral describes it as "partial 23S ribosomal RNA". It matches the Rfam family "Bacterial large subunit ribosomal RNA", at positions 1 to 418 of the family's 2925-position model. Lineage: Bacteria; Bacillati; Bacillota; Bacilli; Caryophanales; Bacillaceae. The record is from RNAcentral.